GACAGAGGGGGCAAGCGUUGCUCGGAUUCACUGGGCGUAAAGGGUGCGUAGGUGGCUUGGUAAGUUUGAUGUGAAAUCUCCGGGCUUAACCCGGAAAUGGCAUUGAAUACUAUUGAGCUGGAGGUUUGGAGGGGGGACUGGAAUUCUCGGUGUAGCAGUGAAAUGCGUAGAUAUCAGGAGGAACACCGGUGGUGUAGACGGCUUUCUGGACCGUAACUGACGCUGAGACACGAAAGCGUGGGUAGCAAACAGG
This 253-nucleotide ribosomal RNA is filed under the name uncultured bacterium. RNAcentral's name for it is "partial 16S ribosomal RNA". It matches the Rfam family "Bacterial small subunit ribosomal RNA", at positions 524 to 776 of the family's 1533-position model. The record is from RNAcentral.